UGCUUCUCAGAAGUGGGGAUUGUGACACUCUCAUUUCCUGUGGUGUCAUCACAGCGUGAGGCCAGGCCGAGGACAGACUGUCAACACCACCGCUCAGCCCUCCUGCCAGAGCCGACCAGUGGGGGCUGGCCCGGGACUGCUGCCCCCAAAGGCCAGGAUCCGGAGGCUGCAUGCCGAUGAAGACACCCCUUUGGGAACCCACAGACUCUAAGCCCACACCUCGCUCCACCGGAAGGAUACACGUGGCCAGACAUGUGGGCCAAAUUCUGGCAGAAUAUCAAAGAAUUCAUACAGCAGAGGAAAUCUCUGAAUAUUCUGAGGCCACAGUGUUUCCUCGUCGUCCCUCCUCCUUCCCCCUCUUUCUUCAGUAAAGUCUCGGCCUUGUGUCUUCACACGUGCCCAACCUGUCACGGGAGUCGUCCAAUGGCAGGAGGCCCCUGCCCAUCAACGGGCUGGCGACCACUUUACACGUUUGACAACUGGCAAACACGCCGCAGGGGAGGACGCGGUGACUGGUUCAUUCAUUCAACAAGUGUCUUCUCAGCUUCUACUCUGCUCUGUAGCUGACAUUAACAUUUGUGCUGGGGAUAAGGGACAGGGAGGAAGGAGGUGUCAGCAACAAGUGGCUUGGACAACCUCGGGGAAGAGAGAGGGGAUCAGGAAGACAGUGGCACCUUUUGGACUGCAGGGGUGUCUGUGGCCCAAGGCUUCGGAGGGGGCGUAGGAGAGAGCGCGGGGAAGGGAGGGAGAAAGAACGCGGGCGUAAUGGCUGUUCACCACAUGUCGAGCUGGCCCGGGGUUUCUCAGAGCAACGGCCUGGGACCUGUUAUCUCCACUUUGUAAAUAAAGAAAAUAAGGUGCGUGCACAGCUAUUAAGUGGCAGAGUACUUGAAGCUCAGUCCAUCUCGCUCCAAACCCCACUGUCUGCCCCACACAAGGGAGGGAACUGGGCCAUUAGUGUGCGAUUCCUCCGGCUGUUUCCAGAGUUGUAGGGACAAUGAGAGGCACCUGGCGAACUGGGAGGGCAAGGGGACAGAAGGAGAGAAGGGGACGGCUUUCGGAGACUCUACUUCAGGGACCAGGGAAAGGCACACUCCUUCAUUCCUGCAUUCACUCAUUCAUGCGCCCAUUUAGCAGAUCUUCAUUGAGCCCUGCGGAGCGCCGGGAAGGGUGCGUCCGUGCUGGGGACACGAGUAAGACUGACACGGUCCCUGCCCUCCUGGAACUUCUACUCUAGAAGGAGGCAGACAACCCAGCAUGCUACGAGUUCUGAAAGAACUCCUGGGCCCCAGGAAGCAGAGAAGAGAAUCCCGUAUCCCAGACUCGCGGGGUUGGGAGCGACUCCCG
Molecule: long non-coding RNA, 1347 nt
Filed under: Equus asinus (donkey)
Lineage: Eukaryota; Metazoa; Chordata; Mammalia; Perissodactyla; Equidae
Description: lncRNA (ENSEASG00005034752.1)
Source: RNAcentral